Molecule: ribosomal RNA, 429 nt
Filed under: Chloroflexota bacterium
Lineage: Bacteria; Bacillati; Chloroflexota
Description: Chloroflexi bacterium partial 16S ribosomal RNA
Rfam family: Bacterial small subunit ribosomal RNA
Source: RNAcentral
UGGGGAAUAUUGCACAAUGGGCGCAAGCCUGAUGCAGCCAUGCCGCGUGUGUGAAGAAGGCCUUCGGGUUGUAAAGCACUUUCAGCGGGGAGGAAGGCGAUAAGGUUAAUAACCUCAUCGAUUGACGUUACCCGCAGAAGAAGCACCGGCUAACUCCGUGCCAGCAGCCGCGGUAAUACGGAGGGUGCAAGCGUUAAUCGGAAUUACUGGGCGUAAAGCGCACGCAGGCGGUCUGUCAAGUCGGAUGUGAAAUCCCCGGGCUCAACCUGGGAACUGCAUUCGAAACAGGCAGGCUAGAGUCUUGUAGAGGGGGGUAGAAUUCCAGGUGUAGCGGUGAAAUGCGUAGAGAUCUGGAGGAAUACCGGUGGCGAAGGCGGCCCCCUGGACAAAGACUGACGCUCAGGUGCGAAAGCGUGGGGAGCAAACAGG